RNAcentral lists this ribosomal RNA (443 nucleotides) under uncultured Propionicimonas sp. RNAcentral describes it as "bacterial SSU rRNA". It matches the Rfam family "Bacterial small subunit ribosomal RNA", at positions 335 to 796 of the family's 1533-position model. Lineage: Bacteria; Bacillati; Actinomycetota; Actinomycetes; Propionibacteriales; Nocardioidaceae. The record is from RNAcentral.
UGCCUACGGGUGGCAGCAGUGGGGAAUAUUGCGCAAUGGGCGAAAGCCUGACGCAGCAACGCCGCGUGCGGGAUGACGGCCUUCGGGUUGUAAACCGCUUUCAGCAGGGACGAAACUGACGGUACCUGCAGAAGAAGCACCGGCUAACUACGUGCCAGCAGCCGCGGUGAUACGUAGGGUGCGAGCGUUGUCCGGAAUUAUUGGGCGUAAAGAGCUCGUAGGCGGUCUGUCGCGUCGGAAGUGAAAACUCGGGGCUCAACCCCGAGCCUGCUUUCGAUACGGGCAGACUUGAGGAAUGUAGGGGAGAACGGAAUUCCUGGUGGAGCGGUGGAAUGCGCAGAUAUCAGGAGGAACACCAGUGGCGAAGGCGGUUCUCUGGACAUUAACUGACGCUGAGGAGCGAAAGCGUGGGGAGCAAACAGGAUUAGAUACCCUUGUAGUCC